GUUAGGAAUAUUGGACAAUGGGCGCAAGCCUGAUCCAGCCAUGCCGCGUGAACGAUGAAGGCCUUCGGGUUGUAAAGUUCUUUAGCCGAUGAUUAUAAUGACUGUAGUCGGAAAAUAAGCCCCGGCUAACUUCGUGCCAGCAGCCGCGGUAAUACGAAGGGGGCGAGCGUUACUCGGAAUCACUGGGCGUAAAGCGUGCGUAGGCGGUCUCGUAAGUUAGGAGUGAAAGUCCAGUGCUCAACCUUGGAAUUGCUCUUAAUACUGCAAGGCUAGAAUCUCGGAGAGGAUAGCGGAAUUUCCAGUGUAGCAGUGAAAUGCGUAGAUAUUGGAAGGAACACCAGUGGCGUAAGCGGCUAUCUGGACGAGUAUUGACGCUGAGGCACGAAAGCGUGGGGAUCAAACAGGAUUAGAAACCCUGGUAGUCC
RNAcentral lists this ribosomal RNA (425 nucleotides) under uncultured bacterium. Its description in RNAcentral is "partial 16S ribosomal RNA". It matches the Rfam family "Bacterial small subunit ribosomal RNA", at positions 354 to 796 of the family's 1533-position model. The record is from RNAcentral.